Molecule: ribosomal RNA, 1947 nt
Filed under: seawater metagenome
Description: bacterial LSU rRNA
Rfam family: Bacterial large subunit ribosomal RNA
Source: RNAcentral
UCAAGUGACUAAGCGUAUACGGUGGAUGCCUUGGCAGUCAGAGGCGAUGAAGGACGUUGUAGCCUGCGAAAAGCUUCGGGGAGUCGGCAAACAGACUUUGAUCCGGAGAUGUCCGAAUGGGGAAACCCACCUGGUGUAAGCCAGGUACCUUGCACUGAAUACAUAGGUGUAAGGAGCGAACGAGGGGAACUGAAACAUCUAAGUACCCUUAGGAAAAGAAAUCAAUUGAGAUUCCCCCAGUAGCGGCGAGCGACCGGGGAGUAGCCUGCAAGUGAUAGCAGUUGGGUUAGUGGAACGGUCUGGAAAGUCCGGCGAUAGAGGGUGAUAGCCCCGUACACGAAAACCUGAUUGUGAUACUAAGCUUGCGACAAGUAGGUCGGGACACGAGUUAUCUUGACUGAACAUGGGGGGACCAUCCUCCAAGGCUAAAUACUACCAACUGACCGAUAGUGAACUAGUACCGUGAGGGAAAGGUUAAAAGAACCCCGGAGAGGGGAGUGAAAUAGAUCCUGAAACCGUAUGCGUACAAGCAGUAGGAGCAGACUUGUUCUGUGACUGCGUACCUUUUGUAUAAUGGGUCAGCGACUUAUUGUCUGUAGCAAGCUUAACCGUUUAGGGGAGGCGUAGGGAAACCGAGUCUUAAUAGGGCGUCAUAGUUGCAGGCAAUAGACCCGAAACCGGGCGAUCUAGCCAUGGGCAGGUUGAAGGUUGAGUAACAUCAACUGGAGGACCGAACUCACGUAUGUUGAAAAAUGCGGAGAUGACCUGUGGCUCGGAGUGAAAGGCUAAUCAAGCCCGGAGAUAGCUGGUUCUCCUCGAAAUCUAUUUAGGUAGAGCGUCGUGUCUUACCCUGGGGGGUAGAGCACUGUUUCGGCUAGGGGGUCAUCCCGACUUACCAACCCGAUGCAAACUCCGAAUACCAAUGAGUGCAAUCACGGGAGACACACGGCGGGUGCUAACGUCCGUCGUGGAAAGGGAAACAACCCAGACCGUCAGCUAAGGUCCCAAAGUUAUAGUUAAGUGGGAAACGAUGUGGGAAGGUUUAGACAGCUAGGAGGUUGGCUUAGAAGCAGCCAUCCUUUAAAGAAAGCGUAAUAGCUCACUAGUCGAGUCGGCCUGCGCGGAAGAUAUAACGGGGCUAAAUUGGUAACCGAAGCUGCGGAUGCGUGCUUGCACGCAUGGUAGAGGAGCGUUCUGUAAGCCGUUGAAGGUGAACCGGGAGGUUUGCUGGAGGUAUCAGAAGUGCGAAUGCUGACAUGAGUAACGAUAAAGGGGGUGAAAAACCCCCUCGCCAGAAGUCCAAGGUUUCCUACGCAACGUUAAUCGGCGUAGGGUUAGUCGGCCCCUAAGGCGAGGCAGAAAUGCGUAGUCGAUGGGAAACGGGUUAAUAUUCCCGUACUUCAUAUAACUGCGAUGGGAAGACGGAGUAGGUUAGCUCAGCAAGGCGAUGGUUGUCCUUGUUCAAGCGUGUAGAAAUGGUUCUUAGGAAAAUCCGGGAACCUCUAUUUCAAGGCGUGAUAACGAGCCCUCUUUUGGGCGAAGUGAGUGAGACCAUGCUUCCAGGAAAAUCCUCUAAGCUUCAGGUUAUAUGAAACCGUACCCCAAACCGACACAGGUGGACGAGAUGAGAAUUCUAAGGCGCUUGAGAGAACUCGGGUGAAGGAACUAGGCAAAAUGACACCGUAACUUCGGGAGAAGGUGUGCUCUUGUUAUGUGAUAUCACUUGCUGAUUGAGCAAAGAAGAGCUGAAAAAACUAGGUGGCUGCGACUGUUUAUUAAAAACACAGCACUCUGCAAACACGUAAGUGGACGUAUAGGGUGUGACUCCUGCCCGGUGCUUGAAGGUUAAUUGAUGAGGUUAGCGCUUGCGCGAAGCUUUUGAUCGAAGCCCAAGUAAACGGCGGCCGUAACUAUAACGGUCCUAAGGUAGCGAAAUUCCUUGUCGGG